Long non-coding RNA from Homo sapiens (human), 1966 nucleotides. Lineage: Eukaryota; Metazoa; Chordata; Mammalia; Primates; Hominidae. The record is from Ensembl.
GGCUGGGCCUUUGUCUCUCGCUCCCACCAGAGCUUGGAAUCCGUCUCUGCUCUUCUGCAUUCUCCACCUCGGGAGCCCCUGGGGACUCUGUGACGGCCUCUGUUGCCCUGUGAUCUGCAGGUCCGGAGAGACGCACAGCUAAGAUGUCAGGACAUCCUGGAAGCUGGGAAAGGGUCUUGCCAUCUCUAAGCUGGACCUGGUGACCUUUUUGGAGGGAAAGAAAGAGCCCUGGACUGUGAAGAGUGAGGAGACCAUAGCUGCACAGCCAGAGAUGGGGUUCCAUCAUGUUUUCCAGGCUGAUCUCAAACUCCCACGGUCAAGCGAUCUGCUGGCCUCGGCCUCUCAAGUCCAGAUGUAUAAUCUCAUCCCUGAACAUUUCUGAUGGUGUGAUUAUGACAUGUGACUUUAUCUGGCAACAGAGUGAGUUGUUGCUCCCGCCUGAGCCCAGCCCCCAGAAAGGAUUGUGACAUAUCGUUGGACCCAGAAUUGAGAAGGCAUUGAGACAUGGCUGGGCUCAGCACUAAGAAGAUGUGAGUCCUCUGCCUGAAGCCUGACCACAGGGAGCAUUGUGACACAUUUCUUGACCCAUUACAAUCUCUUCUACGGGCAAAGCUGAGAUGGAGUUUUGCUCCUUUUGCCCAGGCUGGAUUGCAAUGGUGCAAUCUCAGCUCACCACAACCUUCAUCUCCCAGGUUCAAGCAAUUCUUCAGCCUCAGCCCCCUGAGUAUCUGGGAUUACAGGUGGAAUUGUGACAUAUAACUUGGCCAAGCACACAGAUGUAAUGGUGUGGUGACUCUCAUACCUAGAACUGGGACCUGUGCAGGAUUGUUAAUUCAUUACUGGACAUUCCUGUGGGUGUGAUUGUUACAUAUGCCUAUGUUCAGCACCCGAGUGAUUUGAUUUUGCUGCCUGGUCUCAGUCCAAAUGUAAGAUUGUGAUUUAUCGCUGAAUCCAGCACCUCGGUGAUUUGACUCUCCCUUUUUUUGUGGGAGGGAUCCUGCAAAUUUUGGGUAUUGUCAAUUAUUGCUGAAUCCUGUACCCAUGUUAUGACUCUCCCAAAUGUGCCUUACCUGUUGUGGCACAAUAUAUCACAUUAGACAUUGUUAAAUAUUGUUGGGUUCAACACCUGGGUGAUGGAUGUAACUUUUUUUCUGGGCCUGCCUACAGGGGACCUUGUGACAUAACUCAAUGCCCAUCAUCAUGGUAAUGUUACUCUCUUCUCCUGCCUGAUCUCUGCUCACAGAGAAAUUGUGACACAUCACUGGCCUAGCAUCUAGGUGAUGUGACUCUCCUCUUUUUUUCAGGCUCUGCAUAUUUGGGUAUUGUGACAUAUUGCUGAACUCAACACCUAAGGGAUGGGAGUCUCCUACCUAGGCCCUUCCUACAGGGGACAUUGUGACAUGUCUCUGCAUUCCUCAUCCAGGAGAUGUGACUCUCCUUUUCUGCCUACACCCUGCCUACACAGAAAGUUGUGGCAUAUUGCUGUGGUCAGCAACCAGAUGAUAUAUUUCUCCUGCCUGGGUCUUUAUUACAGGAAAGAUGAUUGACAUAUUACUGGGCCCAGCAUCCAGAUGAUGUGACUCUCUUCUUCUGUUGGUCCUUGCUUACAGGGAAACUGUAGCAUAUUGCUACACCCAACACCUAGCUUAUGUGAUUCUUCUUUUAGGUUUGCCUUCAGGGAACAUUGUGACAUAUUGCUGGGCCCUGCACUGAUAAUUUGUGACUCUUCUGCCUGUGAUUUGCCCACUUGGGGCAUUGUGACAUAUUGCUGGGUUUAACACUCAGGUGAUGUAACUUUUAUGCCUAGGCCUUGCUUACAGGAGGCAUUUUGAAAUGUCUUUGUGGCUGGGCAUGGUGGCUCAUGUCUGUAAUCCCAGCGCUUGGGGAGGCCAAGGUGGGCAGAUCACAAAGUCAGGAGUUCGAGACCAGCCUGGUCAACAUGGUGAAAACCUGUCUCUACUAAAAC